Molecule: long non-coding RNA, 1546 nt
Filed under: Physcomitrium patens
Lineage: Eukaryota; Viridiplantae; Streptophyta; Bryopsida; Funariales; Funariaceae
Description: long non-coding RNA (PPAT_LNC002013)
Source: RNAcentral
AAUAAAAAUUCUAUUUCUUUUCUAUCUUAUAAAUGUAAUUUUUUUAUAUUUUUUUUCUUAAUUUUAUAUAAGUAUAUUUUUUAAUAAAAAGUUUUUGUAGCUAAAUGUUUUUCAAAAAAAUUAUAGAAUAUAAAAAAAUUAAAUUUAUAAAAUAUUUGAAUUUUUAUUGAAAAUUAUAUGUAAUAAUAAAUAAAUUAUAUAUUUAAAAAUACUAAUAUAUUAUAUAAGUAAAUCAAAUAUUAAAACAAGUUUAAUAUUUUAUAUUAUAAUUAUUUUUUACUCAUGUUUUUUUAGAAAAAUUUAUAAUCAACAUUUUAAAACUUUUAAAAUUAAUCUUAAAGAGUUUUUUGUGUAUUUUAUUUAUUUUAAAUAAAUAAUAAUAUUUUAUAAAUUUUCUAUUUUUUUGAAAUAUUUUUUUAAUAAUUUCAAAUAUUUAGAAUAGAAACUAUUUAUAAAUUAAAACAUUAUACUUGAUUUCUAUUUUAAAUACAUGUUAAGAAGCCAUCAUUAUUCUAGUUGAUAUAAUGUAUGCUAUUUACUCAAGAAAGUUUUAAUAAAUAAUUCAAACUUUAGAGAUAGGAGCACGAAUUAUGGGACAACUUAAUUCAAAAAAUAAGAAAGAUAAGAAAUUGUAAUGAUCAAGAUUCUUUGCAUAAAAAAUAUUUAUUGAUAUUGUUACAUUCUUGACAUGCAUACAUUGUUUUAGAAAAUCAUCAAAAGCAAUCUCAUAAAAAUAUGUCAAAAUAAAGUAAAAUAAAAUAAAAGUUAACCUUAACUAUCAUUUUGACACAUCUUCUAUGCAACUGAUGGUCCACCUCCACUGGCAGCUGUGUGAAGAAACUAGAUUUCAUGUACACACAUAUCGCAGAAACUUUCAGUUGAAGGAUUCAACAACUUGUGAUACAUCUGGCAUCUUUUGAACACUGUUCCAUGAACCGAUUCAACCUUCUUCUUAAAAUAAGGCAUACAGAACCGCAUUUUGGUACAGUUACGGAAUCUAGCAACCAACCUUUUAAAAGCCUUUCAUGGAGAUCAAAUUCAUGACCUAAUACGGAUUUCAUCAAACUGUAGAGAUAGGAGCACGAAUUAUGGGACAAUGAGAAGCUAUAUAUCUACACAAUGAGCUACGAAGUCUGUGAAUACAAAGGUAAUGAGUAUGUUGGUUACGGUACCAGUGAAAGGGCUCAAGCAGAGCGUUCGACUCGUUGCAACAAAGGAUUCGCAUAUUUGAGAUGAUUCUGCAUCCCUGGCUUCUUCAGUGUGGAGCUGAGAAUUACUACACCCCACGGAAUACAAGGUGGCCUAGUGAUCUGAGUUGAUUGUAGGCAAAAAACCAAUUACGACCAACGUUUCGAGAUGCAGAAACGGUUAUGAAUCAUGUUGUACUUGGGGAUUGUUGGUGAAAGACGCAAACCUGCAAUUCUAGGACAGGGAUAAUGCUUCUUUGGUACGCAAAGUAGCGCAAGGAUGCCGUGCAGCUUCGAUCAGACAGUCAUUUAAGAGUGAAUGACAUUCUACGGUGGGAGCUCAAUGAACGAAGUGUAAC